ACGAAGGGAACACUGUUCCUCUUCCCCACUCGAAUCCAGCCCCCAAAUUCCGUCCAAAUUUCAAGCGAGUGAGCUCAAGACCACCCCACGCGUUCCCCCUCCCUCCUCGUCACUAUAAGUGUAUCGACCUCUGACAGAUUUUCUCAUCCACAUUCCCUUCUCACGUGAUUGGAAGCCUCUAGAAGGCAUAUGCCGGAUGAAUGGAGAGCGUGGGAUCGAUUUCGAUUAAUCCCAGCCCUUCAUUCAUCAGGUGUCUGCCUGAUAACUAGAGAAAUUAUGGGAUUUCAAAGGGGGAGACUAAAACAUUUCAGAGAGAAAAAGUUGAA
RNAcentral lists this long non-coding RNA (326 nucleotides) under Nicotiana benthamiana. RNAcentral's name for it is "long non-coding RNA (NBEN_LNC032482)". Lineage: Eukaryota; Viridiplantae; Streptophyta; Magnoliopsida; Solanales; Solanaceae. The record is from RNAcentral.